RNAcentral lists this unclassified non-coding RNA (244 nucleotides) under uncultured fungus. RNAcentral's name for it is "partial contains 5.8S ribosomal RNA, internal transcribed spacer 2, and large subunit ribosomal RNA". The stretch from base 1 to 52 matches the Rfam family "5.8S ribosomal RNA", at positions 103 to 154 of the family's 154-position model. Lineage: Eukaryota; Fungi. The record is from RNAcentral.
AACGCACAUUGCGCCCCUCGGUAUUCCGGGGGGCAUGCCUGUUCGAGCGUCAUUACACCAAUCAAGCCCUGGCUUGGUCUUGGGCGUCGCGGUCCCCCGCGUGCCUCAAUGUCGCCGGCUGGUGCGUCCGUCUCCGAGCGUCGUGACUUCAUUGCUCGCUUCUGGAGGCCGGACGGACCGCGCCGUCAACCCCCCAUAUCUAUAGGUUGACCUCGGAUCAGGUAGGGAUACCCGCUGAACUUAA